This is a non-coding RNA of Acanthosepion pharaonis, 109 nucleotides long. NCBI's taxonomy places the organism in Eukaryota, Metazoa, Mollusca, Cephalopoda, Sepiida, Sepiidae. The record is from the annotation of a GenBank genome assembly.
UUACGGCCAUAUCACGUUGAAACACCGGGCCCCAUACGACCACCGAAGUUAAACAACAUCGAGUCUGGUCAGUACCUAAAUGGAUAACCGCUUGGGAAUAUCAAGUGUU